GGGUGGUAAUGCCGGAUGCUCCGACUCCUCGCAUGGGGUGUCGGGAAAGAUUUCAUCGGUAUGGGAUGGGGUCGCGUCCUAUCAGGUAGUCGGCGGGGUAACGGCCCACCGAGCCUACGACGGGUAGCCGGCCUGAGAGGGCGACCGGCCACAUUGGGACUGAGAUACGGCCCAGACUCCUACGGGAGGCAGCAGUGGGGAAUAUUGCACAAUGGGCGCAAGCCUGAUGCAGCGACGCCGCGUGCGGGAUGACGGCCUUCGGGUUGUAAACCGCUUUUGAUCGGGAGCAAGCCUUCGGGUGAGUGUACCUUUCGAAUAAGCACCGGCUAACUACGUGCCAGCAGCCGCGGUAAUACGUAGGGUGCAAGCGUUAUCCGGAAUUAUUGGGCGUAAAGGGCUCGUAGGCGGUUCGUCGCGUCCGGUGUGAAAGUCCAUCGCUUAACGGUGGAUCUGCGCCGGGUACGGGCGGGCUGGAGUGCGGUAGGGGAGACUGGAAUUCCCGGUGUAACGGUGGAAUGUGUAGAUAUCGGAAAAGAAC
RNAcentral lists this ribosomal RNA (538 nucleotides) under Bifidobacterium catenulatum. RNAcentral describes it as "bacterial SSU rRNA". It matches the Rfam family "Bacterial small subunit ribosomal RNA", at positions 158 to 707 of the family's 1533-position model. The record is from RNAcentral. Lineage: Bacteria; Bacillati; Actinomycetota; Actinomycetes; Bifidobacteriales; Bifidobacteriaceae.